This 369-nucleotide ribosomal RNA is filed under the name uncultured bacterium. RNAcentral describes it as "bacterial SSU rRNA". It matches the Rfam family "Bacterial small subunit ribosomal RNA", at positions 527 to 896 of the family's 1533-position model. The record is from RNAcentral.
GUAGGGUGCGAGCGUUAAUCGGAAUUACUGGGCGUAAAGCGUGCGCAGGCGGUUCGCUAAGACCGAUGUGAAAUCCCCGGGCUUAACCUGGGAACUGCAUUGGUGACUGGCGGGCUAGAGUAUGGCAGAGGGGGGUAGAAUUCCACGUGUAGCAGUGAAAUGCGUAGAGAUGUGGAGGAAUACCGAUGGCGAAGGCAGCCCCUCGGGCCAAUACUGACGCUCAUGCACGAAAGCGUGGGGAGCAAACAGGAUUAGAUACCCUGGUAGUCCACGCCCUAAACGAUGUCAACUAGUUGUCGGGUCUUCAUUGACUUGGUAACGUAGCUAACGCGUGAAGUUGACCGCCUGGGGAGUACGGUCGCAAGAUUA